GGAGGCGGGUGCAAGGAGAGGGGGCGGCUCCUCCCACGGCGGAGGGUCGCUGCCUCGAAGGCAAGCAGGCAGGCGCAGGGCUUCCUACGAAAGAAGAUGCCUCAAAACCUAGAGGAUACGAAGCUAAAACCUCCCAAAUUUGAGGAAGAGGCCUUUGAGAUUGUGAAGGUAAAGGUUCCCUGGAGAUAAAUCAAGUGACUGAUGGGGAGGCCGACUUACCAGGGAGGAUCAAGUUGGUUACACCUUCUGGGAAGAGGCUCCGUGGUAUCCAAAGCAGAACAUCCCGAUUCAGUCACAGUUUGUUCCAUACAGUAUCAACCUGGUGAAUUCUCAAACUUUCUCUUUCUGCUAUGUAUUCAAGAUGGACAGUGAUUAGUAUUUAUAUGUUAGGGUGCAGGUAUAUACAUAUGUAUGUACAUAGCAUGUCU
RNAcentral lists this long non-coding RNA (428 nucleotides) under Naja naja (Indian cobra). RNAcentral's name for it is "lncRNA (ENSNNAG00000009937.1)". The record is from RNAcentral. Lineage: Eukaryota; Metazoa; Chordata; Lepidosauria; Squamata; Elapidae.